AUUCCAGCUCCAAUAGCGUAUAUUAAAGUUGUUGCAGUCAAAAAGCUCGUAGUUGGAUUUCUGGUGGGGCUGUCGGCUUGGCUCCGAGAGGGGUCGUGGUUAGUACACGCCUGGCCAUCCUCGGGGGAAGCUUUGCUGGCAUUAAGUUGUCGGCGGAGUGACGCUCGUCGUUUACUGUGAACAAAUUAGAGUGUUCAAAGCAGGCUUAGGCCGUUGAAUACAUUAGCAUGGAAUAAUGAGAUAGGACUUUGGUGGUCUAUUUUGUUGGUUUGCACGCCGAAGUAAUGAUUAAUAGGGGCGGUUGGGGGUAUUCGUAUUCAAUUGUCAGAGGUGAAAUUCUUGGAUUUAUGGAAGACGAACUACUGCGAAAGCAUUUACCAAGGAUGUUUUCAUCA
The sequence is a ribosomal RNA, 395 nucleotides long. It matches the Rfam family "Eukaryotic small subunit ribosomal RNA", at positions 582 to 975 of the family's 1831-position model.